This 393-nucleotide ribosomal RNA is filed under the name uncultured bacterium. Its description in RNAcentral is "partial 16S ribosomal RNA". It matches the Rfam family "Bacterial small subunit ribosomal RNA", at positions 523 to 918 of the family's 1533-position model. The record is from RNAcentral.
AUACGGAGGAUCCGAGCGUUAUCCGGAUUUAUUGGGUUUAAAGGGAGCGUAGGUGGAUUGUUAAGUCAGUUGUGAAAGUUUGCGGCUCAACCGUAAAAUUGCAGUUGAAACUGGCAGUCUUGAGUACAGUAGAGGUGGGCGGAAUUCGGGGGGUAGCGGUGAAAUGCUUAGAUAUCACGAAGAACUCCGAUUGCGAAGGCAGCUCACUAGACUGCAACUGACACUGAUGCUCGAAAGUGUGGGUAUCAAACAGGAUUAGAUACCCUGGUAGUCCACACAGUAAACGAUGAAUACUCGCUGUUUGCGAUAUACAGUAAGCGGCCAAGCGAAAGCAUUAAGUAUUCCACCUGGGGAGUACGCCGGCAACGGUGAAACUCAAAUGAAUUGACGGGG